Molecule: non-coding RNA, 95 nt
Organism: Acanthosepion pharaonis
Lineage: Eukaryota; Metazoa; Mollusca; Cephalopoda; Sepiida; Sepiidae
Source: the annotation of a GenBank genome assembly
AAAACACCGGUUCGCGUACGAUCACCAAAGUUAAGCCCUGUCGAGCCUGGUCAGUGCCUAGAUGGGUGACCACUUAGGAAUACUAAGUGCCGUAA